This 253-nucleotide ribosomal RNA is filed under the name uncultured bacterium. Its description in RNAcentral is "partial 16S ribosomal RNA". It matches the Rfam family "Bacterial small subunit ribosomal RNA", at positions 524 to 776 of the family's 1533-position model. The record is from RNAcentral.
UACGUAGGGUGCAAGCGUUGUCCGGAAUUAUUGGGCGUAAAGAGCUUGUAGGCGGUUUGUCGCGUCUGCUGUGAAAUUUCGGGGCUCAACCCCGAACUUGCAGUGGGUACGGGCAGACUAGAGUGUGGUAGGGGAGACUGGAAUUCCUGGUGUAGCGGUGAAAUGCGCAGAUAUCAGGAGGAACACCGAUGGCGAAGGCAGGUCUCUGGGCCAUAACUGACGCUGAGAAGCGAAAGCAUGGGUAGCAAACAGG